This 254-nucleotide ribosomal RNA is filed under the name uncultured bacterium. RNAcentral describes it as "partial 16S ribosomal RNA". It matches the Rfam family "Bacterial small subunit ribosomal RNA", at positions 524 to 776 of the family's 1533-position model. The record is from RNAcentral.
GACGUAGGGCGCGAGCGUUGUCCGGAAUUAUUGGGCGUAAAGAGCUCGUAGGCGGCUUGUUGCGUCGACUGUGAAAACCCGCGGCUCAACCGUGUGGCUUGCAGUCGAUACGGGCAGGCUAGAGUGCGGUAGGGGAGAUUGGAAUUCCUGGUGUAGCGGUGGAAUGCGCAGAUAUCAGGAGGAACACCGAUGGCGAAGGCAGAUCUCUGGGCCGUAACUGACGCUGAGGAGCGAAAGCAUGGGGAGCGAACAGG